ACUCCUACGGGAGGCAGCAGUGGGGAAUAUUGCACAAUGGGCGCAAGCCUGAUGCAGCCAUGCCGCGUGUGUGAAGAAGGCCUUCGGUUGUAAAGCACUUUCAGUCGUGAGGAAGGUAGUGUAGUUAAUAGCUGCAUUAUUUGUACGUUAGCGACAGAAGAAGCACCGGCUAACUCCGUGCCAGCAGCCGCGGUAAUACGGAGGGUGCGAGCGUUAAUCGGAAUUACUGGGCGUAAAGCGCAUGCAGGUGGUUUGUUAAGUCAGAUGUGAAAGCCCGGGGCGUCAACCUCGGAAUAGCAUUUGAAACUGGCAGACUAGAGUACUGUAGAGGGGGUAGGAAUUUCAGGUGUAGCGGUGAAAUGCGUAGAGAUCUGAAGGAAUACCGGUGGCGAAGGCGGCCCCCUGGACAGAUACUGACACUCAGAUGCGAAAGCGUGGGGAGCAAACAGGAUUAGAUACCCUGGUAGGAUAGCG
Molecule: ribosomal RNA, 474 nt
Filed under: uncultured bacterium
Lineage: Bacteria
Description: bacterial SSU rRNA
Rfam family: Bacterial small subunit ribosomal RNA
Source: RNAcentral